UACGGAGGGUGCAAGCGUUAUCCGGAUUCACUGGGUUUAAAGGGUGCGUAGGUGGGUCUGUAAGUCAGCGGUGAAAUCUCCGAGCUUAACUCGGAAACUGCCAUUGAUACUAUAGGUCUUGAAUCAUCUGGAGGUGAGCGGAAUAUGUCAUGUAGCGGUGAAAUGCUUAGGUAUGACAUAGAACACCAAUUGCGAAGGCAGCUCACUACGGAUGUAUUGACACUGAGGCACGAAAGCGUGGGGAUCAAACAGG
RNAcentral lists this ribosomal RNA (253 nucleotides) under uncultured bacterium. Its description in RNAcentral is "partial 16S ribosomal RNA". It matches the Rfam family "Bacterial small subunit ribosomal RNA", at positions 524 to 776 of the family's 1533-position model. The record is from RNAcentral.